AAACGAAAGAGUUUGAUCCUGGCUCAGAUUGAACGCUGGCGGCGUGCUUUACACAUGCAAGUCGGGCGGCAGCACGAGGGAGACCUUGGUGGCGAGCGGCGAACGGGUGAGUAAUACAUCGAGACGUACCUUGUAGUGGGGGAUAACUCAUCGAAAGAUGAGCUAAUACCGCAUAAUCUCUGAGGAGGAAAGGUGGGGACCAGAAAUGGCCUGUUGCUAUAAGAGCGGUCGAUGGUCGAUUAGCUAGUUGGUGGGGUAAAUGCUUACCAAGGCGAUGAUCGAUAGCUGUUCUGAGAGGAAGAUCAGCCACACUGGGACUGAGACACGGCCCAGACUCCUACGGGAGGCAGCAGUGGGGAAUAUUGGACAAUGGGGGGAAC
This 380-nucleotide ribosomal RNA is filed under the name Burkholderiales bacterium. Its description in RNAcentral is "bacterial SSU rRNA". It matches the Rfam family "Bacterial small subunit ribosomal RNA", at positions 1 to 381 of the family's 1533-position model. The record is from RNAcentral. Lineage: Bacteria; Pseudomonadati; Pseudomonadota; Betaproteobacteria; Burkholderiales.